Molecule: long non-coding RNA, 1306 nt
Organism: Vicia villosa (hairy vetch)
Lineage: Eukaryota; Viridiplantae; Streptophyta; Magnoliopsida; Fabales; Fabaceae
Exons: 6
Source: RefSeq, a predicted model, not a curated record
CUGGAAAAUAUCCAAAUACCCUUCCUUCUAAUUUUGCCACCUCUCCAAAAUGGGGGCAAUUUUGGUCAUAAAUUUACUUUUUUCAACUAAUGAUGUCAUAUAAUUGACUUCCAAUUGUAUAGUUGUUGUUUUGUGCCUUUGCUCUUUAGGAAUGAAUGAAUUGAUGAUGUCAUAUGGGGGAACUACAACUUAAUGGUUACUGAAAAAGUAUAUCUUUUUGAAUUGCCAAAUAGCUGUAUCUCACUAUCUUAAAUUCAAAAUUUCAAUUUCUUCUCUCUCUCAGUCCUUUCUCUCAUUCUCUCUCUUCCUUUCUCACUUUCUCUCUCACGUUUCUUCUCUUCCCUUUCCUUUUUCUUUCUUUCUUCUUUACAAACCGGAUGGUACUCUAUGAUACUCUUGGAGCGUUUCUGGUAUGUCCACGGAAACUUACGGAGCUUCGAAACUACUGAAGAUGUUGUAGUUAUUGUAUGUCACUCUUCAUGUUAGGGUUUGUGGUGAAUUUUGUGCAGGGAGGAUUUGGAGUAUAUAAAGGGUUUUGGUUUUGUGGCUAAGGUUCAAUAACGGGAAAAUUACGGUUUUAAUUUUAUAGAUUUAUCAUCGGUGUCCGGUCGAAGAGGUUGCCGGUUUGAACAUUGUUGCUGUUUUAUUGUUAUAGUGUCCACAAAAUCAAUGUUUUGUUGUUGUUGGUCGUAAACAAGCAUCUUUGAAAUUGCCUUUAAUGGUGGGAACAUAUUCGGUGUCGGCUUUGUUUCGUCAAGUGCAGGUUCCGAGAUGAGGUUGCCCGGAGUCGAGAGCGAAGUUGUCUGGAACAUGGAAACCCAGAUUGAAUCUUGCACCAUGAACUUCACUGGAUGAAAAGUCAUAUUAUAGAUGCAUGUGUACUGUUCGAAGAAAUGCCAAAGAGGAUAUUAGAUGCUCUUGCUGCACUAAUGCUCUUGCUGCAUCACUUCAGAAACCAACGAAAGAUAAGUAGUAGCUACAGGUUUUAUUGACUGAUUAUAAUGGACUAUUGUCAUGCAAUUAAGGGUGUUUUUAGAUAUUAUUCUAAUGCUGAUGCUGAUUGUUAGUGCUGAUCAAAGAGUCAAUGGUUCAAUCUAUAUCAGUAUUUGUCUUUAUGUAUCCUCUCUAAUUCAAUAAUUUUUCAAUCUGUGAAAUAACUUCACUCAUUUUUCUUUUUUGAAUACCUUUCUUUAUAUUCAUUUGAAGCAUCAAACAUGUCUCUUUGAUUAUUUUUCUUCAUUUGCUAUGGUUCCUUAGUUCUUAAAUUAUCCAACUAAAUGAGAUCUUUGUAUGUAGAGGUUCUUGC